Non-coding RNA from Lupinus albus (white lupine), 196 nucleotides. NCBI's taxonomy places the organism in Eukaryota, Viridiplantae, Streptophyta, Magnoliopsida, Fabales, Fabaceae. The record is from the annotation of a GenBank genome assembly.
AUACCUUUCUCGGCCUUUUGGCUAAGAUCAAGUGUAGUAUCUGUUCUUAUCAGUUUAAUAUCUGAUAUGUGGGUCAUUGGCCCACACGAUAUUAAAUUACUUUUUUAAAGGGGAGAGACCAUUCCAAUAGCUUGCUAUUAGGUCUCUCAUAUAUCGCUAAUGUGUUAGCACUAUUACAUGAGCUGGUGUACCCUAC